This 97-nucleotide small RNA is filed under the name Salix viminalis (osier). Lineage: Eukaryota; Viridiplantae; Streptophyta; Magnoliopsida; Malpighiales; Salicaceae. The record is from RNAcentral.
UUUUCUGGGAUCAGAGAGAUAACCCACAUCUGCAGAUCUAAUCAAUCCUGAAUUUGAUCUGCAAUAAAAUAAUCCCAUUUUGGUUGUUCCGUGGAGA